Molecule: long non-coding RNA, 1399 nt
Filed under: Prunus persica (peach)
Lineage: Eukaryota; Viridiplantae; Streptophyta; Magnoliopsida; Rosales; Rosaceae
Description: long non-coding RNA (PPER_LNC005288)
Source: RNAcentral
UCCUCCCAUAAUAUUAUGAUGUUCCCCAAGUUUUGGACUCAAUCCGAUAUCGAUUGGUCCUUCAAAUCGGACAAUUCAGGUUCGUACGAAGUUCGUUCUGAAAUGGGGUGGUUGGUUUAUUGUAUAGUUCUAAAGACUGGAUUUCACUCAAAACCCACCAAAUGAUUCCUCCCACAAUAUUAUGAUGUUCCCCAAGUUUUGGACUCAAUCCGUUAUCGAUUGGUCAAAGAAAUCGGACAAUUCAAGUUAGUACGAAGUUCGUUCUGAAAUGGGGAGGUUGGUGUAUUGUAUAGUUCUAAAGAUUGGAUUUCACUCAAAACCCACCAAAUUACUCCUCCCAAAAUAUUAUGAUGUUCCCCAACUUUUGGACUCAAUCCGAUAUCGAUUGGACCUUGAAAUCGGACAAUUCAGGUUCCUACGAAGUUCGUUCUGAAAUGGGGUGGUUGGUGUAUUGUAUAGUUCUAGAGAUUGGAUUUCACUCAAAACCCACCCAAAUGACUCCUCCCACAAUAUUAUGAUGUUCCCCACAGUUUUUGGACUCAAUCCGAUAUCGAUUCGGUCCUUCAAAAUCGGACCAAUUCAGGUUCUUAGAAGUUCAAUCUGAAAUGGGUGGUGGUGUAUUUUAGUCUAGGGGAAUAGAUUCACACAAAACCCACCAAAUGACUCCUCCCAAAAUAUUAUGAUGUUCCCCAAGUUUGGACUCAAUCCGCUACCGAUUGGUCAAUGUAAUCGGACAAUUCAGGUUCGUACGAAUUUCGUUCUGAAAUGGGGUGGUUGGUGUAUUGUAUAGUUCUAAAGAUUGGAUUUCACUCAAAACCCACCAAAUUACUCCUCCCACAAUAUUAUGAUGUUCCCCAAGUUUUGGACUCAAUCCGUUAUCGAUUGGUCAAAGAAAUCGGACAAUUCAAGUUAGUACGAAGUUCGUUCUGAACUGGGGAGAUUGGUGUAUUGUAUAGUUCUAGAGAUUGGAUUUCACUCAAAGCCCACCAAAUGACUCCUCCCACAAUGUUAUGAUGUUCCCCAAGUUUUGGACUCAAUCCGAUAUCGGUCGGUCCACGAAAUUUGACAAUUCAGGUUCGUAAGAAGUUCGUUCUGAAAUGCGGUGGUUGGUGUAUUUUAUAGUUCUAAAGAUUGGAUUUCACUCAAAACCCACCAAAUGACUCCUCCCACAAUAUUAUGAUGUUCCCCAAGUUUUGGACUCAAUCCGUUAUCGAUUGGUCAAUGAAAUCGGAUAAUUCAGGUUCGUACGAAGUUCGUUCUGAAAUGGGGUGGUUGGGGUAUUGUAUAGUUCUAGAGAUUGCAUUUCACUCAAAACCCACCAAAUGACUCCUCCCACAAUAUUAUGAUGUUUCCCAAGUUUUGGACUCAAUCCGAUGUCGAUUGGUCCUUGAAAUCGGAC